Cricetulus griseus (Chinese hamster) is the source of this 132-nucleotide small nucleolar RNA. Its record names the gene SNORA71. It matches the Rfam family "Small nucleolar RNA SNORA71". Rfam says of the family: The members of this family belong to the H/ACA class of snoRNAs which bind a number of proteins (including dyskerin, Gar1p and Nop10p) to form snoRNP complexes. This class of snoRNAs are thought to guide the sites of modification of uridines to pseudouridines by forming direct base pairing interactions with substrate RNAs. This family includes U71 (SNORA71), ACA39 (SNORA39) and ACA60 (SNORA60). The record is from Ensembl. NCBI's taxonomy places the organism in Eukaryota, Metazoa, Chordata, Mammalia, Rodentia, Cricetidae.
CCCUGUAUUCGAAAGUGAUCAUGGGCUGCCUGUGCCCUGGUCAUUGAUAGUUCAGGGAGAGGAGGCAGAAAGCCUUUCUCAGUGUUUGGAGGAGCCACACCUGUCCUUGCCAAACCCUGGCGCUUUUCCACA